UACGGAGGGUGCAAGCGUUAAUCGGAAUUACUGGGCGUAAAGCGUGCGUAGACGGUUAUUUAAGUCAGGUGUGAAAGCCCAGGGCUCAACCUUGGAAUUGCAUUUGAGACUGAAUAGCUAGGGUGCGGAAGAGGGAAGCGGAAUUUCCGGUGUAGCGGUGAAAUGCGUAGAUAUCGGAAGGAACACCAGUGGCGAAAGCGGCUUCCUGGUCCAGCACCGACGUUCAGGCACGAAAGCGUGGGGAGCAAACAGG
Molecule: ribosomal RNA, 253 nt
Filed under: uncultured bacterium
Lineage: Bacteria
Description: partial 16S ribosomal RNA
Rfam family: Bacterial small subunit ribosomal RNA
Source: RNAcentral